UCAGCACAUGCUUCAGUGCUCUGGGAGAGUUUAUAGUCCUGUGAGUUUAACACUUCAUGACUGAGAGCUGCUGCCCCACAAACUUCACCCACAGCAGACAUGACUUUGACCACCAUCUUCAUCUGGACUCUGAUCUUUUGGACUGAAGAAUCCAGAGGUCAGGCCGUCAUCACUCAGACUCCUGCAGUAAAAUCUGCUCCUCCAGGAGAAACAGUCACCAUCAGCUGUAAUGCUAAUGUUGCUGUUGAUAAUGACUGUAACAGCAGAUUUGCCUGUGUGUCCUGGUAUCAGCAGAAACCUGGAGAAGCUCCUAAACUCCUGAUAAAGUUAGCAAACCAGUUACACUCAGGUGUUCCAGCUCGUUUCAGUGGUAGUGGAUCCAAGACUGACUUCACUCUGACCAUCAGUGGAGUCCAGACUGAAGAUGCAGGAGAUUAUUACUGUCUGAUGGAUCAUUACAACACUUAUAAAACUUACCCAUUCACACAGUGA
Colossoma macropomum (tambaqui) is the source of this 492-nucleotide non-coding RNA. The record is from the annotation of a RefSeq genome assembly. NCBI's taxonomy places the organism in Eukaryota, Metazoa, Chordata, Actinopteri, Characiformes, Serrasalmidae.